Molecule: long non-coding RNA, 813 nt
Filed under: Felis catus (domestic cat)
Lineage: Eukaryota; Metazoa; Chordata; Mammalia; Carnivora; Felidae
Description: lncRNA (ENSFCAG00000053411.1)
Source: RNAcentral
CCCCGGCUGGGGAGCUCGCUCAGGCCCCGCCUCCCCGGGGAGGGGGCUUCGCCGCCGCCGCCCCCGCCCCGGAGCCCGCGAACGCAGCGCGAGGUCCUACGUCCCCGCCGCUGCCCAGGCCCCGCUCAGAGCUCUGACCGGCCACCGCCGUCAGCGCCGCUGCUGACCGGGCGGCGUCGCAGCCUUCCCUGACGUCAGCGCGCCGCGGCGGGCCCCGCCCCUCGCCUUCUUUAGGGCGGGGCUGGAUGGGCCUGGGUUGGUGCGACGCGAGGAAGGAUGUGCUCCUGGGCUGGCGGCUCGGAGCCGGUCGUUCUGCCACCUUCAGGCUCGCGGGACGUAGGCGGCUGAGUCUGUACUCAUCGGUGAGAAGAGCGCAGAACUGUGCAGGCGAAUACAGGAUGAUUUUUAGUGAGCUGGGAUGGAGAGACAUGGGACCUGCAUGGAGCAUUUGGGGACACCAAGAGAAGUUUGCCAUACAGUCUCAUAACCUUCCAAAAAAGGAGAGAAAGAGAGCACAACUGGGGAAGAGGGCAGGAGAUAGAGUAGGCUUCACGUUCAGUGUGGAGCCCCACAUGGAGUUCAGUCUCACUAAGAGCACGACCCGAGCUAAACUCAAGAGUCAGUUGCCCAACCCACUGAGCCACCCAGGUGCACCUAAAUACUGAAGCUUUAAAUUGCAUUUUGAUAUUUAAUGGAGUGAGUACCCCUUCAUUGUUCUCAUUUUUCAAAAUGCCUUUUGUUUUUGUGUUUCAGAGGGAUUUCGGAAUAAUUUUAUCAGCUAUUUUCCAGGGUAUCCCGCUGGAAAGAACUGAC